UGUCUUUCCCUGCCCUAGUUAAAUCGAUCCCUUUUUCCCCUAACCUACCUGCUAGCUCCCUCCCCCGAUUCAGACUCUCGCCUCGUCCCUCGGUCCGCUCAGGCGCCCAGGCCGGCCAUCUCCUAGCUCCCUCGCCUCGCCCCUCAGUCCCCUCCCCUCCGGGCUUUGACCGGGGGGGCGGCCCUCUCCCUCGCCUGCCUCCGGGCUCCAGGCCUCCAGCCGGCCGGCCGGUGGAGGGUUUCGCCCUCCGGCUUCCGUGGCGGCGCGGCUCGCUCAGUCAGACGCCAGUCCGCCUCUGGCCUCCCCUACUCCGCCACUGGUUAUGAUGCUACUGCUGUAAUCCUGAUGGGUCUAUCAUAUUGUAGGACUAUUCUUCUCUACAAUGCUAUAACUCGAGGCUGAAGAAGCUAAAACUAUUGCUUGACUUUAAAACCUAAAAGUACAGAUGUCAGUUGCAAUUCAUCCCAUCAUUCUGGAGUCUUGAUUGUUUAGUUGUGGUUUCUAUGUUGAAAAAUGCAGUGCACAAUAUGUCUCGACUUCGCAAUACUAAUUUGGAAGUUGGAGACUCUUCGCCGUUCCUGCAUACUACUAAAUUUGAGGAUUUGUCAACCUGCUAAUGCAAUGUUUCAUGGCUUGGCCAAGUUAGGUAAUCAUGUGUUUGAGUUAAGGCGUCUUAUAAAAUACAAUUCCACCUCCGUACAGAACCAACUUCUGGUUGAUUAUAAGAUGUUUUAUUUUAAUCUACAAAGCUCCACUUCAAAAGAAGAGAACAAAAUUGUAAGCUUACUGUUGUUAUUCCUUUGUGUGGAGUUCUAUCACGAUAUACAGGACUGUGCCUUUGUACUCUA
Long non-coding RNA from Hordeum vulgare subsp. vulgare (domesticated barley), 848 nucleotides. RefSeq lists it as uncharacterized. The transcript is spliced from 2 exons. Lineage: Eukaryota; Viridiplantae; Streptophyta; Magnoliopsida; Poales; Poaceae. The record is from RefSeq and is a predicted model, not a curated record.